GCUGGGAUAGCUCAGUCGGUGGUAGGGCAUGAGACUCUAUCUCAGGGCUGUGGGUUGGAGCCCCACAUUGGGUG
Podarcis lilfordi (Lilford's wall lizard) is the source of this 74-nucleotide non-coding RNA. The record is from the annotation of a GenBank genome assembly. Lineage: Eukaryota; Metazoa; Chordata; Lepidosauria; Squamata; Lacertidae.